RNAcentral lists this ribosomal RNA (542 nucleotides) under Vibrio campbellii ATCC BAA-1116. Its description in RNAcentral is "SSU rRNA". It matches the Rfam family "Bacterial small subunit ribosomal RNA", at positions 26 to 547 of the family's 1533-position model. Lineage: Bacteria; Pseudomonadati; Pseudomonadota; Gammaproteobacteria; Vibrionales; Vibrionaceae. The record is from RNAcentral.
AGAUUGAACGCUGGCGGCAGGCCUAACACAUGCAAGUCGAGCGGAAACGAGCUAUCUGAACCUUCGGGGAACGAUAACGGCGUCGAGCGGCGGACGGGUGAGUAAUGCCUAGGAAAUUGCCCUGAUGUGGGGGAUAACCAUUGGAAACGAUGGCUAAUACCGCAUAACGCCUACGGGCCAAAGAGGGGGACCUUCGGGCCUCUCGCGUCAGGAUAUGCCUAGGUGGGAUUAGCUAGUUGGUGAGGUAAGGGCUCACCAAGGCGACGAUCCCUAGCUGGUCUGAGAGGAUGAUCAGCCACACUGGAACUGAGACACGGUCCAGACUCCUACGGGAGGCAGCAGUGGGGAAUAUUGCACAAUGGGCGCAAGCCUGAUGCAGCCAUGCCGCGUGUGUGAAGAAGGCCUUCGGGUUGUAAAGCACUUUCAGUCGUGAGGAAGGUAGUGUAGUUAAUAGCUGCAUUAUUUGACGUUAGCGACAGAAGAAGCACCGGCUAACUCCGUGCCAGCAGCCGCGGUAAUACGGAGGGUGCGAGCGUUAAUCG